UACGAAGGGGGCUAGCGUUGCUCGGAAUCACUGGGCGUAAAGCGUGCGCAGGCGGUUUUGUAAGCCAGAUGUGAAAUCCCCGGGCUUAACCUGGGAAUGGCAUUUGGGACUGCAAGGCUGGAGUUUGGCAGAGGAGACUGGAAUUCCUGGUGUAGCAGUGAAAUGCGCAGAUAUCAGGAGGAACACCGAUGGCGAAGGCAGGUCUCUGGGCAUUAACUGACGCUGAGGAGCGAAAGCAUGGGGAGCGAACAGG
RNAcentral lists this ribosomal RNA (253 nucleotides) under uncultured bacterium. Its description in RNAcentral is "partial 16S ribosomal RNA". It matches the Rfam family "Bacterial small subunit ribosomal RNA", at positions 524 to 776 of the family's 1533-position model. The record is from RNAcentral.